Molecule: non-coding RNA, 132 nt
Organism: Helicobacter sp. MIT 05-5294
Lineage: Bacteria; Pseudomonadati; Campylobacterota; Epsilonproteobacteria; Campylobacterales; Helicobacteraceae
Source: Rfam
GUUGGCUUUGUGUGAUGGUGUUUUCGCUUGAGUCUCUUAAAUUGAGACGAGAAUCUGCCGCCUAAUAAGCUACUUAUGGCUGGAAUCGUUGCCUAUUUUUGGGCUACACAAACAAGUAACGCUCACUCGGGU